GCAACGGCAAAAUCCGUUGCCGGGAUUGGCGUCCUGUUCUGAAUCCACGGCACAACACGCGCCAUGCGUGUUUUUU
This 76-nucleotide small RNA is filed under the name Aeromonas dhakensis. Its description in RNAcentral is "isrK Hfq binding RNA". It matches the Rfam family "isrK Hfq binding RNA". Lineage: Bacteria; Pseudomonadati; Pseudomonadota; Gammaproteobacteria; Aeromonadales; Aeromonadaceae. The record is from RNAcentral.